RNAcentral lists this ribosomal RNA (244 nucleotides) under uncultured bacterium. Its description in RNAcentral is "partial 16S ribosomal RNA". It matches the Rfam family "Bacterial small subunit ribosomal RNA", at positions 111 to 354 of the family's 1533-position model. The record is from RNAcentral.
UAACGCGUGAGUAACCUGCCUUGGAGUGGGGAAUAACACAUCGAAAGAUGUGCUAAUACCGCAUAAUGCAGUUGGGCCGCAUGGCUCUGACUGCCAAAGAUUUAUCGCUCUGAGAUGGACUCGCGUCUGAUUAGCUGGUUGGCGGGGUAACGGCCCACCAAGGCGACGAUCGGUAGCCGGACUGAGAGGUUGACCGGCCACAUUGGGACUGAGACACGGCCCAGACUCCUACGGGAGGCAGCAG